RNAcentral lists this ribosomal RNA (389 nucleotides) under uncultured Bacillota bacterium. RNAcentral's name for it is "bacterial SSU rRNA". It matches the Rfam family "Bacterial small subunit ribosomal RNA", at positions 10 to 394 of the family's 1533-position model. The record is from RNAcentral. Lineage: Bacteria; Bacillati; Bacillota.
ACUUUGAUCAUGGCUCAGGACGAACGCUGGCGGCGCGCCUAACACAUGCAAGUCGAACGAGAGAUGAAGAGCUUGCUCUUCAAAUCGAGUGGCGAACGGGUGAGUAACGCGUGAGGAACCUGCCUCAAAGAGGGGGACAACAGUUGGAAACGACUGCUAAUACCGCAUAAGCCCACGGCUCGGCAUCGAGCAGAGGGAAAAGGAGCAAUCCGCUUUGAGAUGGCCUCGCGUCCGAUUAGCUAGUUGGUGAGGUAACGGCCCACCAAGGCAACGAUCGGUAGCCGGACUGAGAAGUUGAACGGCCACAUUGGGACUGAGACACGGCCCAGACUCCUACGGGAGGCAGCAGUGGGGAAUAUUGCACAAUGGGGGAAACCCUGAUGCAGCGA